UCAAGUCUAUCCUUUGUGCAUAAAGCCCCUGGCAUACUACCACAUCCUUUAGCCUACUCUCGCGCAUUACUUUGGGGAGGCAAGGCCCUGUGCCAAGGAGCGCAUUUCGCUGGCACUCUUUAAGCAGUGCUGACGGAAAGGCGUUCGGAAGAUGAGGGACAAAAGAAGUGAUUUUGUUCGCGCCCCUCUCAUACUUAGCUGGCGACGUCACACCCUAGAGCCACUUUUACGUCGAUACGGAGAAAAUGGACUUGGCAGACAACUCGAUGUGGACGCUAGUCGAGGAGGCUGUCAUUGAAGAUAGGGGGGAAGACGAGGAGGAGGUUCUAGCGCAAAUGGUACGCUCGUAUCUCGCGCGGAGAGGCCUGACAGACACUCUCGCCGCCUUUGACGAGGAGCACCAGUGCUACAGGGGCUCAUCGACGGCUCCACACAAUCGCGAUCCAGGUGCACCCAGGCCGUCAGUGAAUGCCGAGGUUCUUGGUUCCACGCCGGCCACAGAUCGCGCUAGUGCGGGUUCUGCCCCCCCUCGCGAUGAAACUAGCGCUGGGAUGGACAAACGCAAGGCGGCGCAGCUGCUUUGUCUGCAGAAGAGGUACGAGGCGGCGGCUGCGCUCAUGGAGCCGUCGUCACUUGCGCGCAUUCGCCUUCUGUGCAUUCAGGCGCAGAGCCUAGAAGACAGGCCCACGGCUGUCUUUUACCUGGCGACCCACGUCGCACCUCUCGUCCCGUUUUGCAUUGAUCCUACGAUGGGCCACAGAGUGUACACCGCUGCCCUGAGUAACGUGCUAAGUCCGUGCCGGGAGAGGUCUAUUCCUGACACGGAGCUGCUCGCGAGGGAGGUGAACGACGAGUUGUGCGGCCGUGAGCAGCGCAGUAGCCUUCACGUGUUGUUCAAUUGGGCGUACUGGCAGGAAACGUCGAACGCCGCCUGAUGUACGAAAGCGUCUUUGUACGAGAGAACGGCGGCAGACUUUUUGGUGGAGGCGUCUGCACUGCGAGUGUCGUCGAAUCAACCUCUUCUCUUGCAUAGCAGACAUCUUUUUUCCUCUCGUUGGGGGUGUGAUGUGGCCGUGGCGCAACUACUGCUGUACAUGUUGUGUAUUCACGCCGCUGUAGCGCUUUCCUGUUGUUGGUAUCUUUUUGUGUGCGAGCUUGCUUGCGUCACUCUGUACCUGGAAACGGCGAUACAAACAGAGCAUGCUAGGGGAGGGGCCCAGAGCUAGUCACCCAAGCCAUGUAUCUACUCUCUCUCUCUUAGUUUUUAUUUUUGUAUGGCGAGUGAAACAGAUGCGAGUUGCUCGCGUUGCCUUCUCCCCACACGCUAGCACUCUCUUCUUUGUUCUCCUCUUCAAGAUUUCGAAUGUGCCGCGGGGACUCUUUUUUCUUGACGCAGCACAGGCACACAAAAGCAGGUGAAUCUGUGGAUGUCCUAGUGCUCGUACACUCUUUCUCUCUGUCAUCGCUGGUUGGGGCAGGUGCCGUGGGCCCCAACAAGAGCGCUGGCAGACCGCGGCCAUGAAUGCUGCCGGUUCUGCAAUCAUGCGGGUGCGCGUUGCGGUAACGCAGACCUCUUC
This 1577-nucleotide unclassified non-coding RNA is filed under the name Leishmania donovani. RNAcentral describes it as "gene:LdHU3.08.0050(CDS-product:hypothetical_prote in_conserved)". The record is from RNAcentral. Lineage: Eukaryota; Euglenozoa; Kinetoplastea; Trypanosomatida; Trypanosomatidae.